Molecule: ribosomal RNA, 490 nt
Filed under: uncultured bacterium
Lineage: Bacteria
Description: partial 16S ribosomal RNA
Rfam family: Bacterial small subunit ribosomal RNA
Source: RNAcentral
AUUGAACGCUGGCGGCAGGCCUAACACAUGCAAGUCGAACGGUAACAGGGAUCAGCUUGCUGAUUCGCUGACGAGUGGCGGACGGGUGAGUAAUGUCUGGGAAACUGCCUGAUGGAGGGGGAUAACUACUGGAAACGGUAGCUAAUACCGCAUAACGUCGCAAGACCAAAGAGGGGGACCUUCGGGCCUCUUGCCAUCGGAUGUGCCCAGAUGGGAUUAGCUAGUAGGUGGGGUAACGGCUCACCUAGGCGACGAUCCCUAGCUGGUCUGAGAGGAUGACCAGCCACACUGGAACUGAGACACGGUCCAGACUCCUACGGGAGGCAGCAGUGGGGAAUAUUGCACAAUGGGCGCAAGCCUGAUGCAGCCAUGCCGCGUGUAUGAAGAGGGCCUUCGGGUUGUAAAGUACUUUCAGCGGGGAGGAAGGGAGUAAAGUUAAUACCUUUGCUCAUUGACGUUACCCGCAGAAGAAGCACCGGCUAACUCCGUG